CUGGCCCUGAAUCAAGGCCAGCAGCUUCCUGACGCUGUUGGUUUCCAGCAGGAGCCUAAAGAGAUGUCUUUCUAUGGCCUAUUGGCCAUUUCAGAAGUUGGGCUGUGAAAUGGUCAAUUCAUUAGAAAGAAACAGCU
Molecule: small nucleolar RNA, 137 nt
Organism: Cavia porcellus (domestic guinea pig)
Lineage: Eukaryota; Metazoa; Chordata; Mammalia; Rodentia; Caviidae
Source: Ensembl